Molecule: long non-coding RNA, 2702 nt
Organism: Gymnogyps californianus (California condor)
Lineage: Eukaryota; Metazoa; Chordata; Aves; Accipitriformes; Cathartidae
Exons: 6
Source: RefSeq, a predicted model, not a curated record
ACUGGAAGAAAUGCAGGGUUCAGCUUGCUUGUCUAUUAUUCAUCUGCCUGGUUCUUCAAACAAGAUACUGGCUGCAGGGGAAAAAAAUCUGUGCACUUGGACAGAGAUAUUCACUAAGCAGAAAACUUCAUAAAGAUUAUUGGAUUUUGUAUAUUCAAUGGCAUAUGGUGCAACUGCAUAUCUGGGAAAUGAAGACUCUAAUGUUUAUGGCUGUAAUGUUAACAUUCAGAAGUGAACCAGUGGUAAACUAGAGAUCUCAUGUUUGCUGACAGCCUGAAGCUUUGGCAUUCACAAAGUCAGACACUGGUUAUGUGACACUUGCUUUUUGUUUUGGCUUGCUCAAUGCAUCAACUGUUAGAGGAAAAUAUAUCAUGCUGGAUCCAACAGCCUGAGAGAGGUGAGGCUACUGCUGCUCCAUGUCCCCAGAUCCACACAGUAGUGAGACUGAAGGUGUAUUCCUGGCAGAUGGGACCUCGCUGAGAGACCAAGGGAGUCAGGGACCUGAUCGGUUCCAGCCGGCACCGAGGAAUUCUCGGGGAUACCCAUCGAUCCCCGAUCCAUAAGGCUCUUUGUGACGUCCCCUGGAGAGUGGAUGCACCUUGACAGCCCUAAGGAGUUUUCUGGUGUGGAACUGACCUUUGACUUUGGAGAAUCCAGUACAUGAUUUCCAACCAGGAGAUUACGUCUAUGUGAAGACCUGGACUUCAGAACCCCUUCAGGAAUGUUGGAAGGGACCCUUUCAAGUACUGUUGACUACCUUCACUGCCAUCAAGAUAGCUGAAUCGGAAGCGUGGAUACAUUAUACCAGGGUGAAGAAAGCCCCAACAUCAUGGAAAGUUGUUAAUAGGGAUCCUAAGACUUCAAAGUUAACUCUGAAAUAUGUCUAAUCUUGUAUAUCAUUAUGAAGUCUGGGGAGAAUGAAUAUUGAUUUGGAGAUUAAUGUUGGUGGGAGCCUGGUUUGCAGGGGAAAACAAACAAAUAAACAAACGAACAAAACCCCACCAAACUGAACAAGAAGUGCCAGUGAGAUGUGGAAAUUCAUUAGGAUUGGGAUGUGAUUUUGCUGAUUUUGCUCAAAUUCCAGACUUUGACAGGAUGGAAUUUGAGUUAAUGGGUAAAAUCAUUCAUUAGCACUACAUUAGUCUUGCUGAUAAUCUUUUCAACAAUCGUUUUGAUUUACUAUUGUCUAAGAAAACAAAUAAACAGCAAGACUGCGUUUAAUCGGAUGAUUAUCCAAGCAGUAGCUAGACAACAGGAUGAGAGAGAAUCAACCCCGAGGCUCCCACCAGCAUACAGUGAAUAGGUUGUAUAUCAAUGUAUUAUAAAAUAAUCAAACCCUAGAAAUUAGGAUGAAAGUAUUGAAAUGAUUUUCAAAACUUUCAAAGGGGGGAAAUGUUGCAAAUUAAUCUGAUAAAAUAAUGAUAAAACAAUCAAAAUUUGAUUCUACAUACAUAGAAGAGUUAUGAAGCAUGGGUUUGUUAAGAUUGAAACAAUUAACCAUAGAAACUUCACUAGAAAUUAAUGGCUUUUGUUUUGUUUUGAGAAACUAAGGAGAUUUGUCAUGGAGACCAGCUAUGCUGCUUGGAAAUCCCCUUACCCUUCCCAUCUUGAUUUAAAAAUCAAGGAUUCCAAUCAGUAGAAUUAAAUGAAAUUGACCAAUGAUUGUUUUAGGGUAAGAAUAUUGAUAAGAUAUAUAUAUAUAUACCUAAUAAAAUAAUCAUAGUAAAAGUAAAAUUUAAUAGUGAGCAUACUAUGUAUCAGAGAAGGGUUGUGAAGUGCCUAAAACAAUUAAUUACUAGAAAUAAUGGGGCUAUUAAGGUAGGAACCAUGCGAGACUUGAAGCAUCAGUGACCCUACCAACAUAUGGCAUUGUGAAGCUGCCUCAGAGUAGAAACCAAAGUGAAUGAUAGUCUGCUUUGUUAACGGUCCAUGAAGGACCGCUUAGUGUUGCCAAGUUUAAGUGAACUUAAGGGAAAGGUAAUUCCGGCAGGGGGAGAUCACGACCACCGACUCAUAGACCACUGACUCAAGAAACCCACCGACCCAAAAGGUUAAGGAAGUAAAGGUCUCAAAAAAUCGUAGUGGGCAUGCGUAGUAAUUUGCAUGGUAGGCGAGGGAAUUUUAACCAAUCAUUUAAUAGACUAACAAUGAAUAUGUAUUGAAUGAUUAAAUAUGUUAACAUCUCGUGUAUAAAAGGUGAUGGAUUUUGAUGUGAAGGUGAACACAGUUUGGCGGGGCUAUCCCCCGUGUUCCCAGCGCUGAAUAAAGGAGUGCCUGCUUAUCUGCAUCUCAUUGGUGUUGAUAAGUUCUUUUUGUCACGUUUGGUGACACCUUCAUUUCCAGAUUUGAGAUCAACAGCUCCUGGGGUGGAUAGAGCCUACAUCUCAGAGGAGGCUCUUGGCCUUGAACAGGUUCUUGCAUCCUAGGAGUAGUAGUACAUAGCAGUGCCCUGUGAGGUAAGUCUUUGGCCUGCUGUAAAUAUAUAGGAUUUACAAAACAAAAAAAAACCAAACCCCAAACUAAAGAGCCUCAUCAAAAUAAAUGAAUCAUUAAUAGACAGGGAGUGACAUAUACUAAAAGCUUUGUGUGUGCCCUAGCAGUCUAUUUCUAGUCUCUUGGUUGCCAUCUAUAAAAUUUAGGUUAACUAGAAAGAACUCAAAAUGAAACGUGGCUGUCUCCUGGCUAUGUGCCUUUGCUUCUCU